UCCCUGGUGGCUUAGAGGGUAAAGCGUCUGCCUGCAAGGUGGGAAACCUUGGUUCAAGCCCUGGGUUGGGAA
Molecule: transfer RNA, 72 nt
Filed under: Ovis aries (sheep)
Lineage: Eukaryota; Metazoa; Chordata; Mammalia; Artiodactyla; Bovidae
Rfam family: tRNA
About the family: Transfer RNA (tRNA) molecules are approximately 80 nucleotides in length. Their secondary structure includes four short double-helical elements and three loops (D, anti-codon, and T loops).
Source: Rfam by way of RNAcentral